This 369-nucleotide ribosomal RNA is filed under the name Triticum aestivum (bread wheat). RNAcentral's name for it is "partial small subunit ribosomal RNA". The record is from RNAcentral. Lineage: Eukaryota; Viridiplantae; Streptophyta; Magnoliopsida; Poales; Poaceae.
GUGGCAAGGAUAGCUUGGCGCAUAGUGGGAGUGCUGCUUGGGACUAAUUUAUGUCCCAACAAUCUAUGUCAGUUUUACUCUUGGUGCUAUGCUUUUCUACCUUAGGGGGAGCAAUAUUUCACAAUGGGGAUAGCAGCCAUUUGCUGGGCUAUUUGGAAUCGCAGAAACCAGGCUACUUUUGAAUUCAAGAAACUGUCAUCUCCUUUUGAGAUUGUUUUCACUACAUGUAUGCAUCUAUCUUACUGGGCAGGACUCCUGAAGGGUGAAAGGCGAACAGAGCUAGAGUGCGGUGCACUGAUUAUGAAGGAGAAUGCUAAAGAGAUGACGAGUCCCUGCGCGACCGCGUAUGUUGGUGACACUGUGGAGUGA